UGGGGAAUAUUGCACAAUGGGCGCAAGCCUGAUGCAGCCAUGCCGCGUGUAUGAAGAAGGCCUUCGGGUUGUAAAGUACUUUCAGCGGGGAGGAAGGGAGUAAAGUUAAUACCUUUGCUCAUUGACGUUACCCGCAGAAGAAGCACCGGCUAACUCCGUGCCAGCAGCCGCGGUAAUACGGAGGGUGCAAGCGUUAAUCGGAAUUACUGGGCGUAAAGCGCACGCAGGCGGUUGAUUGAGUCAGAUGUGAAAUCCCCGGGCUUAACCCGGGAAUUGCAUCUGAUACUGGCAAGCUUGAGUCUCGUAGAGGGGGGUAGAAUUCCAGGUGUAGCGGUGAAAUGCGUAGAGAUCUGGAGGAAUACCGGUGGCGAAGGCGGCCCCCUGGACGAAGACUGACGCUCAGGUGCGAAAGCGUGGGGAGCAAACAGG
This 429-nucleotide ribosomal RNA is filed under the name Chloroflexota bacterium. Its description in RNAcentral is "Chloroflexi bacterium partial 16S ribosomal RNA". It matches the Rfam family "Bacterial small subunit ribosomal RNA", at positions 355 to 776 of the family's 1533-position model. The record is from RNAcentral. Lineage: Bacteria; Bacillati; Chloroflexota.